Molecule: ribosomal RNA, 497 nt
Filed under: uncultured bacterium
Lineage: Bacteria
Description: partial 16S ribosomal RNA
Rfam family: Bacterial small subunit ribosomal RNA
Source: RNAcentral
GACGAACGCUGGCGGCGUGCCUAAUACAUGCAAGUUGAGCGCUGAAGGUUGGUACUUGUACCAACUGGGUGAGCAGCGAACGGGUGAGUAACGCGUGGGUAAUCUGCCUUUGAGCGGGGGACAACAUUUGGAAACGAAUGCUAAUACCGCAUAAAAACUUUAAACACAAGUUUUAAGUUUGAAAGAUGCAAUUGCAUCACUCAAAGAUGAUCCCGCGUUGUAUUAGCUAGUUGGUGAGGUAAAGGCUCACCAAGGCGAUGAUACAUAGCCGACCUGAGAGGGUGGAUGGCCCAAUUGGGAAUGGGACACGGCCCAAACUCCUACGGGGGGCAGCAGGAGGGAAUCUUCGGGAAUGGACGAAAGGCUGACCGAGCAACGCCGCGGGAGUGAAGGAGGUUCUCGGAUCGUAAAACUCUGUUGGUAGAGAAGAACGUUGGUGGGAGUGGAAAGCGCAUCAAGUGACGGUAACUAACCAGAAAGGGACGGCUAACUACGUG